Molecule: ribosomal RNA, 497 nt
Filed under: uncultured bacterium
Lineage: Bacteria
Description: partial 16S ribosomal RNA
Rfam family: Bacterial small subunit ribosomal RNA
Source: RNAcentral
GAUGAACGCUGGCGGCGUGCCUAAUACAUGCAAGUCGAGCGAACGGACGAGAAGCUUGCUUCUCUGAUGUUAGCGGCGGACGGGUGAGUAACACGUGGAUAACCUACCUAUAAGACUGGGAUAACUUCGGGAAACCGGAGCUAAUACCGGAUAAUAUUUUGAACCGCAUGGUUCAAAAGUGAAAGACGGUCUUGCUGUCACUUAUAGAUGGAUCCGCGCUGCAUUAGCUAGUUGGUAAGGUAACGGAUUACCAAGGCAACGAUGCAUAGCCGACCUGAGAGGGGGAGCGGCCACACUGGAACUGAGACGCGGUCCAGACUCCUACGGGAGGCACCAGUAGGGAAUCUUACGCAAUGGGCGAAAGCCUGACGGAGCAACGCCGCGUGAAUGAUGAAGGUCUUCGGAUCGUAAAACUCUGUUAUUAGGGAAGAACAUAUGUGUAAGUAACUGUGCACAUCUUGACGGUACCUAAUCAGAAAGCCACGGCUAACUACGUG